UUUUCCACCAUUGAAUCCCCAUCAGAGCUCCAAUUUUGCACCUAAAACACUCAACUCGACCAGAAAUGAAUCAUACACCAAUUAUAACACAUAGAGAUGUUAAUUUGACAUAGAUUUACAAUUAAAUUUACCAAUUUAUCAUGAAUUAAGGUCAAACUCUUGAAAACUCAAACACAUCAAUUAACAACAACAAUUUGCAGAUUCCACAUGCUUUCAGCAUGCAUCAAUUUGACAUAAUAGAGUAUACGAAUUUCAC
This 256-nucleotide long non-coding RNA is filed under the name Lathyrus oleraceus (garden pea). Its description in RNAcentral is "Pisum sativum (pea) long non-coding RNA (PSAT_LNC033796)". The record is from RNAcentral. Lineage: Eukaryota; Viridiplantae; Streptophyta; Magnoliopsida; Fabales; Fabaceae.